CUCGAGUCCAGCUGUCUGUAGGCAGGAGAGAAUGGGCCAAGGAUGGGAUAGCGAUGGAAUGAGAAGGGAAGGAGGGAGACCGCUGCCUAAGGAGGACAAGAGCAGGAGAGCCCUGCUGCUGGUGGGCUCACGUCGGCCACUGGAGCAAUGUGGAGGAGCUCUGCCAAGGGCAUGUCAAGGUGAGAGGAAGCCGGCCCUGUGCCUGAUACAGAAGGAGAAAAACGGCCUGCUCCCUUCUGCUGAACUCUGAACACCUUUGUGCUCCUGCAAAGAGAGAGAUUAGGAAAUAACACACAGGAGGUAACCGAGCGUGCUAGGGCUAGGCCCAGUACUGCCCCUUUGCUUGCGGAUCUGCUUUAAUCCCCACGACAGGAUGAAAUCGGUUAUAACCAUUCCUAUUUUCACCUUACAGAUGGAGACCCUGAUAAUUAGAGGCAAAGCAGCCUGCUCCAGGGCCCAAGCUCCGCAACAGGAUGCUGAAGGAGGAGGGAGGGGUAAAAAAAGUUCUGCAGUGCUCCGUGGUUGUUCUAGGUGGAAAAAGUAGGAUUCGAGAUCAAGAAAAAUCAACUCUGUCUCCCUCCUCCCAUCGGCACCUUUUCCGACUUGAGGCCAGGCAGUAUCUCCUACCGGAGGCCUCAUUUUCCAACAUGGGGGGAAGCUGAGGACAGACCGGGAGGGCUGGGGGCGGUUGGAGCAGUCAGUGUCAGGAACUGGGAGAGAAGGGACCACGGGGAGAGGGUCUUCCAGACUCCAGUGCACUGCCCCCACCUUGGACGGCUACUCCAACCUCUGGAGCUGGUGAACCAGGGCUUGGAAUGGACCAGAGGGUAACAUGAGCUGGGAAAUCUCCAGGGAGCCAGCAGGGGCAGAGCCACACAGGAAAGGAGGGACCCUGCCACGGCAACAGAGCCAUUGAAUAGCCCAGGGACAGGAGCAGCCAUGGGCUUGGGGGCUGUGACAGGCAGGCAGGGAUGGAAACUUGCAAAGCAAAGACCCCAGCGUCACUUCUCAGAGUCUGACCCAAUGAGCUGAGGCAGGGAGUUUUUCUAAAACAAGUUAGCGUUUAGAACUCAAAGAUGAUGGCGCAGAUGGAGUGGCAGCCACUUCUAAGGAGAUCCCCAGCCUCCUCUCUGGUUUGUCCGCCUGACAUGUGCCUGGCAAUUUGGAAGCCACAACAUCGAAGGUGACUGGUCUGCUGUGUGCACCGGGUUGGGGGAGGCAGCCAGCUGGGCUCUUAGCUCACUUGUUCU
This 1250-nucleotide long non-coding RNA is filed under the name Ursus maritimus (polar bear). RNAcentral describes it as "lncRNA (ENSUMAG00000015033.1)". The record is from RNAcentral. Lineage: Eukaryota; Metazoa; Chordata; Mammalia; Carnivora; Ursidae.